GCAUGGGGCGGUACAAGGGUUUGAAACUCCAUACAUGUGUAUGAGAAUCUGCAUGGAGUUUCAAACUCUUGAAUUGCUAUAUGC
This 84-nucleotide microRNA precursor is filed under the name Spodoptera frugiperda (fall armyworm). RNAcentral's name for it is "microRNA sfr-mir-10499b precursor (sfr-mir-10499b-1)". Lineage: Eukaryota; Metazoa; Arthropoda; Insecta; Lepidoptera; Noctuidae. The record is from miRBase by way of RNAcentral.